UGUUGUCAAAGCGCAGCACGCGAUCUCGUUGCAAACUGGACAAGUAUUUCCUGUUUUUUCUCAUUCAUGAUGUUAGUUGGGACAGAGGAUAUUCAAUUUUGACACAACUGUUUUCCUGAAGAAUUAAAUUGUGAAAACAUUGCACCGUCGCACGUUGUCAAUCUAAUUAUCUAUUGCGUAAUUUGUCCUUGUGAGCCCUGCACCAACCCCAUCUUCUUGGAUUCAUUGUUUAUUUUCUAGGUUUUUGUAGCAAGCCUCCAGUAAAAAAUAAAUCUCUUCUGUUUAUUUUAUGCUAACAGUUUUUCAUGGUUACUUUAUCAAUACACUGUUGUGAAAUGACUAAUGUAACAAACUCCUCAAACUAUAUCUGGGAUUAUGAAUAUUAUUAUGACUAUUUGGAUCCCGUUGCGGUGGACGAAAGACAACUUAAAGCUAAUAAGUACUCCAUUGUUAUAGCAUUCUGGGUUGGUCUGUCUGCCUUUGUGGGGUUUAUUUUGCUUAUGCUGAUGCACAUGUCUCGAUCCAGCACAGCACCGAUGCAGAAUCGGAGUACAAGGACGUUUUCAUGGAAACAAUGUUUAUUUGUAAACCAGGAGGUAAACCACCAGCCUUCUCAGCAAGUUCUAUCAGU
This is a long non-coding RNA of Acipenser ruthenus (sterlet), 631 nucleotides long. RefSeq lists it as uncharacterized. The record is from RefSeq and is a predicted model, not a curated record. Lineage: Eukaryota; Metazoa; Chordata; Actinopteri; Acipenseriformes; Acipenseridae. The transcript has 3 exons.